Long non-coding RNA from Austrofundulus limnaeus, 631 nucleotides. RefSeq lists it as uncharacterized. The transcript has 3 exons. The record is from RefSeq and is a predicted model, not a curated record. Lineage: Eukaryota; Metazoa; Chordata; Actinopteri; Cyprinodontiformes; Rivulidae.
AUGAGGCUGAAGGAGAAAAGCCGAGAAGCAGAUGAAGUUUUGUUGUGUAAAGAGAAAAAAAUAAGAGAAACUAAAAAGUAAAGAGUCUAUAAAUGUUAUCUAAAGAUAUUUUUGUCUUUUAAAGGAGUUGUUUUUGCAUAAUUUCGACCUGUCCUUGCCUUCAGGAGAUACUGUAUAUAUUUCUGAACUGGACUUGGCCUUUAAAGUUCUACUGGAAAACUGGACUGGGAAAAAUCGAGCUGAAUGUCGAGUUGGAUGUCGGGAUUGAGAACUGAGAUGGCGAGCCACCAACCAGAGAGCCCUUGAACUUUGAACCAGUAGGAGCUGCACUCUUCUGCUGGAUGUUGUUUUCAUCAGAACUGGUCCAGUACUGCCCAGGUGCCAUGGAUGUGACAUAGUUUUCCGGGUCUGCGUGCAUGGCCUUACGCAUGAGGGUGCCGUCCAUGUUGAUGGAGUUGUAACUACAGAAAACCAGGGUAAAGGCUCAAUCACAAACAAUGAAAAUGUCACAUAUAAUAAUUACAUGAGUAUAUAUUUAAACAAGUUGUGUUACCCAGCUUCAUGUGUGUGUAUAUAUACUGUAUAUUUGUUUCAUAUUAAAUGAAUAAAGGUCAAAGUGAAUACCUUUUGA